RNAcentral lists this ribosomal RNA (497 nucleotides) under uncultured bacterium. Its description in RNAcentral is "partial 16S ribosomal RNA". It matches the Rfam family "Bacterial small subunit ribosomal RNA", at positions 28 to 507 of the family's 1533-position model. The record is from RNAcentral.
GAUGAACGCUGGCGGCGUGCCUAAUACAUGCAAGUCGAGCGAACGGACGAGAAGCUUGCUUCUCUGAUGUUAGCGGCGGACGGGAGAGUAACACGUGGAUAACCUCCCUAUAAGACUGGGAUAACUUCGGGAAACCGGAGCUAAUACCGGAUAAUAUUUUGAACCGCAUGGUUCAAAAGUGAAAGACAGUCUUGCUGUCACUUAUAGAUGGAUCCGCGCUGCAUUAGCUAGUUGGUAAGGUAACGGCUUACCAAGGCAACGAUGUAUAGCCGACCUGAGAGGGUGAUCGGCCACACUGGAACUGAGACACGGUCCAGACUCCUACGGGAGGCAGCAGUAGGGAAUCUUCCGCAAUGGGCGAAAGCCUGACGCAGCAACGCCGCGUGAGUGAUGAAGGUCUUCGGAUCGUAAAACUCUGUUAUUAGGGAAGAACAGAUGUGUAAGUAACUGUGCACAUCUUGACGGUACCUAAUCAGAAAGCCACGGCUAACUACGUG